CUGCUGAAGGCAAGCAAGCUCAACCUUCAACCUAGGCGACUAUUUGUUCACGUUCUUAUGAGAUAUGGUCGAUAAAUUAUUACUGGUUUAGAUACAACAACAAAAAAUACUAGCCUUGUCUACUUUAACACCAUUGUCUUCUUUCAGGCUGGAAACAAUGCAGCGAAGCCUAGAGUGGGCAAAGGGGUACGCUCUUAAAUGUUGCUUCAGCAGACGGCCUGAUAGCUGAAGUGUCCGAGCUCAUGCAGGAGAGUCGCACCCAUGGUCGGCAUGCACAACCAGGUGGGAACCAUUUCAGUGGGGCCAGUUCCGGUUACCAGGCUCCAUUGACUUGGAGUGGAGCUAGAGGUGCUCCUCAUUAUCACAUCACCGGAGAGCAACUGAGGGGUCUGAUGAUAGAUGGCAGAUAUUCUUCACGUGUUCCAUUCUACACUCAAACCACAUCUAAGGCACUUUGCAUUAACCUGAAGGCAGCUGCCUUCCCAUCAAUGUUGCAGAGGCUGCACAGAAGGUACAGUGUUGCUGCUCUGAAUUCUUUAUAACACAUCGAUGGAAACUACAGACUGAAGGUGGAGGAUAGACAUUAUGUGUAUCUGCCUUGAAUCAACAGAGACAUGGCAGACUUCUGCAACCAGUGGAACCACCAUGGUUUAAGGACUGAGAGGCACCAGUCCCCUCUGCAGAUUUUCAUUAGGACUUGCCUUGCACAACAAAUGCUACCUAACACUUCACGGUUCAGGACGGGGCCGUUCAGGACGGGGCGGCUCAGGAUUUUUGCAAAAGAUCAUUAAAAAAAACAUCACAUUUAAAAGCAAACCUUAAUACAGUGAACACCAUACUGUCAUUGAAAGUAGUUACUGAUUGAAUACAUCUAGUAGAGAUGCUAGAUACUGAGAACUUAUGUCCUGCUGAGUUGUGAGUGAUGAGGUUAAAAUG
Osmerus eperlanus (European smelt) is the source of this 936-nucleotide long non-coding RNA. RefSeq lists it as uncharacterized. The transcript is spliced from 4 exons. NCBI's taxonomy places the organism in Eukaryota, Metazoa, Chordata, Actinopteri, Osmeriformes, Osmeridae. The record is from RefSeq and is a predicted model, not a curated record.